Molecule: long non-coding RNA, 1014 nt
Organism: Choloepus didactylus (southern two-toed sloth)
Lineage: Eukaryota; Metazoa; Chordata; Mammalia; Pilosa; Megalonychidae
Exons: 5
Source: RefSeq, a predicted model, not a curated record
GCAGGAAGAGGGUCGUGUCGCACUGUUGGAGGCUGCGGAGGCAGUGAGUUUGUGGUUGCAGCUUCCUGCUGAGAGGCUUUCUGCAGCGCGGGCGUCCCUGUGCUUCUGAGGCGGGGAAUCGUUCUUGGAAACUGGCCCUGGAGUCUGCCUCUCCAGCCCUUACCGGGAUUUGUGGCCAAGGAACCGUGGCAGGUGAUGGCAUCUGGGUGGAAUAAAGCCCUGCAACUUCUGCAUCCUUCUGCCAUGCUGAUUCCAGAAUGUCGUAUAGUUGGAGUCGUACAGUAUGCAGCCUUUUCAACCUGGCUUCUUUCACUUGUCAGUGUGCAUUCACAAUUCUUCCAGGACACCAACACCCAUGAGAAAAUCUAUAUGGAGAAUAGUUUUCAUCUCAUGUGCCAAUUCGUGUGCUUGAGAAGCGUGCCUUGGAGUCCUGCAGGGAAAAAGACUCUGCGGCUGUAUCUGGCCUCCUUGGAAAGAAAACCUGCCCCGUAAAAGAAGUCUACCAGCAGGCAUGAGUAUGAGGAGCUCGCAGGCCACACAGCCAGGAACCCCGGGUUUUGAGCCCGUCUGCAGACCCCCAGCCGCGGUGGAGCCAGUCUCUGCAUCGCUCCCGCUGGGAAAGCUUCCAGGGUGCAAACAAAGCUUUGCUUUUUCCAUUCCCCCUUCACUGCUGCUAAAGAGCGACUUUCUCUCUUGAGGAAGAAUGAAGAACCCUUUGAGAGCAAAACAGAGAAAACGUUCCUGAGAAAUCCUGAUUACCAAGAGGAGCUUAUUUUCAUAUUUAAAUGUAAGCUAUUCUUCUCAGCUAUUAUCUAUUCUCAUCCCUAGGAGGUGCCAUUAUCUGGAAAGAAAUGCACCUUCCAAUAGCCAGAGAGCUGGAGGUUGGUGUCACUGAUUAUAUUAAAUGUAACCAGAAGGCUUGCUGGGGCUACCAAAGUUUUCAAGAUUCAUUGACUAAAACGCACAAAUAAAAUUGUUACAUAAUUUAUUUCAGAUUUGAUAUCUUAUUCAAAG